GAUGAAGAACGUAGCGAAAUGCGAUAAGUAAUGCGAAUUGCAGAAUUCCGUGAAUCAUCGAAUCUUUGAACGCACAUUGCGCCCGCCAGUAUUCUGGCGGGCAUGCCUGUUCGAGCGUCAUUUCAACCAUCAAGCCCCCGGCUUGUGUUGGGGACCUGCGGCUGCCGCAGGCCCUGAAAAGCAGUGGCGGGCUCGCUGUCACACCGAGCGUAGUAGCAUACAUCUCGCUCUGGGCGUGCUGCGGGUUCCGGCCGUUAAACCACCUUCAUAACCCAAGGUUGACCUCGGAUCAGGUAGGAAGACCCGCUGAACUUAAGCAUAUCAAUAAGCGGAGGA
RNAcentral lists this unclassified non-coding RNA (336 nucleotides) under soil metagenome. RNAcentral's name for it is "partial contains 5.8S ribosomal RNA, internal transcribed spacer 2, and large subunit ribosomal RNA". The stretch from base 1 to 120 matches the Rfam family "5.8S ribosomal RNA", at positions 35 to 154 of the family's 154-position model. The record is from RNAcentral.